Molecule: ribosomal RNA, 301 nt
Filed under: uncultured bacterium
Lineage: Bacteria
Description: partial 16S ribosomal RNA
Rfam family: Bacterial small subunit ribosomal RNA
Source: RNAcentral
CAGUCCCGCGGGAAUACGUAGGUGGCAAACGUCGUCCGGAAUUAUUGGGCGUAAAGGGCUCGCAGGCGGUUUCUUAAGUCUGAUGUGAAAGCCCCCGGCUCAACCGGGGAGGGUCAUUGGAAACUGGGAAACUUGAGUGCAGAAGAGGAGAGUGGAAUUCCACGUGUAGCGGUGAAAUGCGUAGAGAUGUGGAGGAACACCAGUGGCGAAGGCGACUCUCUGGUCUGUAACUAACGCUGAGGAGCGAAAGCGUGGGGAGCGAACAGGAUUAGAUACCCGUGUAGUCCCUGUCUCUUAUACA